GUUAAGCGACUAAGCGUACACGGUGGAUGCCCUGGCAGUCAGAGGCGAUGAAGGGCGUACUAAUCUGCGAUAAGCGCCGGUAAGGUGAUAUGAACCGUUAUAACCGGCGAUACCCGAAUGGGGAAACCCAGUGUGAUUCGUCACACUAUCAUUAACUGAAUCCAUAGGUUAAUGAGGCGAACCGGGGGAACUGAAACAUCUAAGUACCCCGAGGAAAAGAAAUCAACCGAGAUUCCCCCAGUAGCGGCGAGCGAACGGGGAGGAGCCCAGAGCCUGAAUCAGCAUGUGUGUUAGUGGAAGCGUCUGGAAAGGCGCGCGAUACAGGGUGACAGCCCCGUACACAAAAGCGCAUGUGCUGUGAGCUCGAUGAGUAGGGCGGGACACGUGGUAUCCUGUCUGAAUAUGGGGGGACCAUCCUCCAAGGCUAAAUACUCCUGACUGACCGAUAGUGAACCAGUACCGUGAGGGAAAGGCGAAAAGAACCCCGGCGAGGGGAGUGAAAAAGAACCUGAAACCGUGUACGUACAAGCAGUGGGAGCACAGGUUUACCUGUGUGAC
RNAcentral lists this ribosomal RNA (558 nucleotides) under Salmonella enterica subsp. enterica serovar Enteritidis. RNAcentral's name for it is "partial 23S ribosomal RNA". It matches the Rfam family "Bacterial large subunit ribosomal RNA", at positions 1 to 597 of the family's 2925-position model. The record is from RNAcentral. Lineage: Bacteria; Pseudomonadati; Pseudomonadota; Gammaproteobacteria; Enterobacterales; Enterobacteriaceae.